CCACCGUUAACCUACCCAUCGAUAACAACAAAUGUCCGCGAAUAAUUUCACAUUAAUUGGUUGAAUGAUUGUAUAUAUUAUUUAUUACAUUAAUUCAAAGAACACGGUGAAGCUUUUCUUCAGCUCACUCAUCAUCCGCCUUCCAUUGGAGCUCCUUCAAAGACGCAACUCUGCAACAAAUCCAGAUGGGAAAAUAUCAAUUUGAUGAACAACCCACAAUCAUCUACUGAUACAUAAGCUUAAAGCUGCUCUAACUAAUCACGGAUCUGUAUAAUCAAUAAGUUGAGAAAACCAGUAUCUAUCCGCAAUGGAGCAGCAAUGUUAGAAGCUCGGUAAGCAGAUUCGUCGACGGGGCCAGUAAGACCCAACAACGACCGGCCAGUAAACCUCUCGUUUUGAUUUCGCUACAGCCACUCUGGCAAAAAUCAAGAGAAGGGUCGAGACGCAAACCUCUCACUCCGUACAUAGUAGCAGAUCCGAUACCAGUUUUUUUAACCAAGAUGAAGAAAUCAGUAAGGAAUAGGAACAAAAUGUCAGAAGCUCGGUAAGCAGAUUUGUUGACUGGGAAACAACAACCGGCCAGUAAACCUCUGGAUGUAGAUUGAUUUAGCUACAGCCGCUAUGGCAGAUUCAAGUGAGAGGUCAAUUGGUGAGGACCUCUCCCUUGGUACAAUGUAGCAGUCGGAUAUUGUAAACAGUCAAAUAUUGGAGACACGAAAGUAUAAACAGCGGUAAGUGAAAUCGGAAGAUCAAAUACACCAUGGAAGCGUAAACCCAACUCAGAGAAUCGGACUAAGCUAAGCUGGAAAUCGAUGAUAAUCGUUGGAGAGUCUGUGAAUUAUAUCAGCAAGAAGACGAUGAGAAAGAGUUCAUAUAGGGAGAGGCGGAGGAUGAGUGUAGGGUUUAGGUGUAGGAUUGGGCUGAUGUGGAUUUGAG
RNAcentral lists this long non-coding RNA (936 nucleotides) under Linum usitatissimum (flax). RNAcentral's name for it is "long non-coding RNA (LUSI_LNC004155)". The record is from RNAcentral. Lineage: Eukaryota; Viridiplantae; Streptophyta; Magnoliopsida; Malpighiales; Linaceae.